GUCGGUGGGUCCGGCAGGAAACGCGGCUCAGCAGUUGAGCAAGGGAGGAAAUGGGCUCCCCGACGCGCCCGCCAAGUUGCUACUGAUCCACCCCUGCAGAAAGCAAAACAUCGAGGUUGCUGCUGCCGCCGCCGCCAGAGCAGGAAACAGCCGCCAGAAGGACCCGCUUAUUGCAAAACUCCUCUCUUGAGCCUGGAUUGAAACAGGAUGCUGGCAAGGCCAAAAAGCACUGCCCGACCGUCAUCAUCCUACUGGCUCGGCCUUCGCACCCCGUCCACGGCGCAAACCUGGCUGCAGCCCACAAAAAGCUGCCUUUGUGAGAAACAUGCCCGGCAUGCUUGGUCUCAUCAUAGCUUAACCAUUGUCUGCAUAGCACUUGGAGAUCCUUUUCGGUAUUGCUGCUUGACUGAUCUGCAGACUCGAGACAUACAGCCAAAGUUAUUAAAAUCAAUCCAUCACACUAAGCAUUGGCUGAAACAAAGGGCACCAUUAAAAUCAGGUAAACACCAAAACACACCACAGUAUCCAAUGGUAGAAACCGUGAAUAUGCAACAAAUAUUUAAAAUUGCCAGAAGCUGUUAACCACUGCCUAUGAAGAAAGAUGUUACAUCUUUGUUAGCAUGUACCAAAUUCUUAAAAAUAGUAUUUUGGAUUCAGGAUCGAUGUGACAGGUCUAUAUGUAUUUUCCUGUGAGUCACAGCCUACAUUAAUAUUCCCAGAAAAUUUUAGUAGUGAAGACCAUCAGUAUUUACGACUGUACAAGGAAGCCUCUUGAACAUUUAGUUGAUUCUCAGGGUGACUGGAGCACUCACUGAGUCCCCAGGCCCAAGAGAACAGAUUUAUUUAGUUUUGAAAUGUUUUAGAGGAUCAAAUUUGGUCUAAUCUCUGAAGACAAAGCUAUUACAUUUCAUCACAUGCAUGUUUCAGCCAUACCUUCUACCUCAUGGUAGAAGUUUUUGAAUCAUUCCGUCGUACCACAGAUACAAAUGUGGUUGAACGUGUAGUUUUAUCUAGAGAUACUGACGUAAAAAAGGAGAGAUUUUCCUAAGCAAAGGCUGGUGUAGAAGUGAGUACAAUUAGCCUGGCUCUCUCAUAAUGCCUCCUACCGGUCCUGAAUGAGCACUCGUGAGAUAUUAUUAGAGUUACAGGCCUAUCCAUUUUGGCUCUGGAAUAAACCUUAAUUGCAAUAGUUCAGAAUUAAUAUGGCUGGAGAUGCAUUACAGGGAUUACAUAAUUGCCAGCAUUAUCAUCCACUCUUUGCCAAUGUACAAAAUGUAACCUUGAGAAGAGGUGACUUUAUUCAUCGCCCUCGGAGUGGUAAUAAAGUUUCAUUUGGGAACACAUCCAAUAUCCAGGGAAUACAGUUGUUGCCUGGUCCAGGCUAGUGUUUCCAGGGCCUGCCCUGGCUGCAACAGCAUGAAAAGGAGCACAGGAAGGGGAGAACAAUAUUUUGGAAGGGAUAUAACUGUUGCUGGUUGGAAGUGACCUGGAGAGCUGAAUGGUGACAGGAACCAAAAAAUAUGAGCUACAUGUCCUGAAUGAAGCCCAAGUAAGCCACAAUACACGCAAGAAUACAGCCGCAUGCUUAAAAUCAGAUCUGGAACACUGGUACACUUAAAUUUUGGUCAUCUUUUCCAGCUCCUGAUCUGUUGGGUUAUUUCUAAUAAUUUUAAGAUUAAAUCUCUUUCUGUGAACUGUGGCCUUUUUGUGCUUCUUCCACUAACUCCUACUCACUGCUGUUUUUCGAACAGCUGCUUUCCUGUUUAGUUGCAUGUCAAGUUUUCCCUGUCACUAGUGAGGGUGAGCGGGGAACCAGUUUUGCCAGCAUUUAGAAAAAUUCUGGAAAGUGGCUCUUUCUCCCCCAAGGUGGUCCUGUUGAAAAUUGCAGAGUUGUCCCCCAUAUACAGGUAAUAGUUUUGUUGGCCUUCAGGCUGUGACAUCACCGGACUGAAUUGUGGCAGCCAGAAUGUAUGUCUGUGUAAGACUGGCCUUGAGUCUGUUUGGGAAGAUACAGGGUGUAAUUAUUUCAAUAAAAAUAAUAACUAAAUUUAA
Molecule: long non-coding RNA, 2052 nt
Organism: Sphaerodactylus townsendi
Lineage: Eukaryota; Metazoa; Chordata; Lepidosauria; Squamata; Sphaerodactylidae
Exons: 2
Source: RefSeq, a predicted model, not a curated record